RNAcentral lists this ribosomal RNA (460 nucleotides) under uncultured bacterium. Its description in RNAcentral is "partial 16S ribosomal RNA". It matches the Rfam family "Bacterial small subunit ribosomal RNA", at positions 338 to 795 of the family's 1533-position model. The record is from RNAcentral.
CCUACGGGAGGCAGCAGUGAGGAAUAUUGGUCAAUGGACGAGAGUCUGAACCAGCCAAGUAGCGUGAAGGAUGACUGCCCUAUGGGUUGUAAACUUCUUUUAUAUGGGAAUAAAAUGUUCCACGUGUGGGAUUUUGUAUGUACCAUAUGAAUAAGGAUCGGCUAACUCCGUGCCAGCAGCCGCGGUAAUACGGAGGAUCCGAGCGUUAUCCGGAUUUAUUGGGUUUAAAGGGAGCGUAGGUGGAUUGUUAAGUCAGUUGUGAAAGUUUGCGGCUCAACCGUAAAAUUGCAGUUGAAACUGGCAGUCUUGAGUACAGUAGAGGUGGGCGGAAUUCGUGGUGUAGCGGUGAAAUGCUUAGAUAUCACGAAGAACUCCGAUUGCGAAGGCAGUUCACUGGACUGCAACUGACACUGAGGCUCGAAAGUGUGGGUAUCAAACAGGAUCAGAUACCCGAGUAGUC